AUUGAACGCUGGCGGCAGGCCUAACACAUGCAAGUCGAACGAGUGGCGGACGGGUGAGUAAUGUCUGGGGAUCUGCCCGAUGGAGGGGGAUAACUACUGGAAACGGUAGCUAAUACCGCAUACUAUCGGAUGCGCCCAUAUGGGAUUAGCUAGUAGGUGGGGUAAAGGCUCACCUAGGCGACGAUCCCUAGCUGGUCUGAGAGGAUGACCAGCCACACUGGAACUGAGACACGUUCCAGACUCCUACGGGAGGCAGCAGUGGGGAAUAUUGCACAAUGGGCGCAAGCCUGAUGCAGCCAUGCCGCGUGUAUGAAGAAGGCCUUAGGGUUGUAAAGUACUUUCAGCGGGGAGGCGUUACCCGCAGAAGAAGCACCGGCUAACUCCGUGCCAGCAGCCGCGGUAAUAC
RNAcentral lists this ribosomal RNA (406 nucleotides) under uncultured bacterium. RNAcentral's name for it is "partial 16S ribosomal RNA". It matches the Rfam family "Bacterial small subunit ribosomal RNA", at positions 30 to 526 of the family's 1533-position model. The record is from RNAcentral.